Molecule: transfer RNA, 77 nt
Filed under: Sphingomonadales bacterium CG12_big_fil_rev_8_21_14_0_65_65_10
Lineage: Bacteria; Pseudomonadati; Pseudomonadota; Alphaproteobacteria; Sphingomonadales
Also listed under: 2 other names
Description: tRNA-Arg
Rfam family: tRNA
About the family: Transfer RNA (tRNA) molecules are approximately 80 nucleotides in length. Their secondary structure includes four short double-helical elements and three loops (D, anti-codon, and T loops). Further hydrogen bonds mediate the characteristic L-shaped molecular structure. tRNAs have two regions of fundamental functional importance: the anti-codon, which is responsible for specific mRNA codon recognition, and the 3' end, to which the tRNAs corresponding amino acid is attached (by aminoacyl-tRNA synthetases). tRNAs cope with the degeneracy of the genetic code in two manners: having more than one tRNA (with a specific anti-codon) for a particular amino acid; and 'wobble' base-pairing, i.e. permitting non-standard base-pairing at the 3rd anti-codon position.
Source: RNAcentral
GCGCCCGUAGCUCAGCUGGAUAGAGUGCUUGACUACGAAUCAAGGGGUCGGAGGUUCGAAUCCUUCCGGGCGCACCA